Molecule: ribosomal RNA, 482 nt
Filed under: uncultured bacterium
Lineage: Bacteria
Description: partial 16S ribosomal RNA
Rfam family: Bacterial small subunit ribosomal RNA
Source: RNAcentral
GAUGAACGCUGGCGGCGUGCCUAAUACAUGCAAGUCGAACGCUUCACUUCGGUGAAGAGUGGCGAACGGGUGAGUAAUACAUAAGUAACCUGGCAUCUACAGGGGGAUAACUGAUGGAAACGUCAGCUAAGACCGCAUAGGUGUAGAGAUCGCAUGAACUCUAUAUGAAAAGUGCUACGGGACUGGUAGAUGAUGGACUUAUGGCGCAUUAGCUUGUUGGUAGGGUAACGGCCUACCAAGGCGACGAUGCGUAGCCGACCUGAGAGGGUGACCGGCCACACUGGGACUGAGACACGGCCCAGACUCCUACGGGAGGCAGCAGUAGGGAAUUUUCGGCAAAGGGGGAAACCCUGACCGAGCAACGCCGCGUGAAGGAAGAAGUAAUUCGUUAUGUAAACUUCUGUCAUAGAGGAAGAACGGUGGAUAUAGGGAAUGAUAUCCAAGUGACGGUACUCUAUAAGAAAGCCACGGCUAACUACGUG